Molecule: ribosomal RNA, 834 nt
Filed under: uncultured bacterium
Lineage: Bacteria
Description: bacterial SSU rRNA
Rfam family: Bacterial small subunit ribosomal RNA
Source: RNAcentral
AGUCGAGGGGCAGCAUUCCAGUUUGCUUGCAAACUGGAGAUGGCGACCGGCGCACGGGUGAGUAACACGUAUCCAACCUGCCGAUAACUCGGGGAUAGCCUUUCGAAAGAAAGAUUAAUACCCGAUGGCAUAAUAGAACCGCAUGGUUUGAUUAUUAAAGAAUUUCGGUUAUCGAUGGGGAUGCGUUCCAUUAGGCAGUUGGUGGGGUAACGGCCCACCAAACCUUCGAUGGAUAGGGGUUCUGAGAGGAGGGUCCCCCACAUUGGAACUGAGACACGGUCCAAACUCCUACGGGAGGCAGCAGUGAGGAAUAUUGGUCAAUGGACGAGAGUCUGAACCAGCCAAGUAGCGUGAAGGAUGACUGCCCUAUGGGUUGUAAACUUCUUUUAUAUGGGAAUAAAGUGAUCCACGUGUGGAUUUUUGUAUGUACCAUAUGAAUAAGGAUCGGCUAACUCCGUGCCAGCAGCCGCGGUAAUACGGAGGAUCCGAGCGUUAUCCGGAUUUAUUGGGUUUAAAGGGAGCGUAGGUGGACAGUUAAGUCAGUUGUGAAAGUUUGCGGCUCAACCGUAAAAUUGCAGUUGAUACUGGCUGUCUUGAGUACAGUAGAGGUGGGCGGAAUUCGUGGUGUAGCGGUGAAAUGCUUAGAUAUCACGAAGAACUCCGAUUGCGAAGGCAGCUCACUGGACUGCAACUGACACUGAUGCUCGAAAGUGUGGGUAUCAAACAGGAUUAGAUACCCUGGUAGUCCACACAGUAAACGAUGAAUACUCGCUGUUUGCGAUAUACAGUAAGCGGCCAAGCGAAAGCAUUAAGUAUUCCACCUGGGGAGUACGC